This 116-nucleotide ribosomal RNA is filed under the name Gammaproteobacteria bacterium. Lineage: Bacteria; Pseudomonadati; Pseudomonadota; Gammaproteobacteria. The record is from RNAcentral.
CCUGGCGGCAAUAGAACACUGGAACCACCCGAUCCCAUACCGAACUCGGAAGUUAAACGGUGUAUCGCCGAUGGUAGUGUGGGGUUUCCCCAUGUGAGAGUAGGUCACUGCCAGGU